Molecule: ribosomal RNA, 444 nt
Filed under: uncultured bacterium
Lineage: Bacteria
Description: SSU rRNA
Rfam family: Bacterial small subunit ribosomal RNA
Source: RNAcentral
AGAGCGAACGCUGGCGGCAGGCCUAACACAUGCAAGUCGAGCGCCGUAGCAAUACGGAGCGGCAGACGGGAGAGUAACACGUGGGAACGUACCCUUUGGUUCGGAACAACCCAGGGAAACUUGGGCUAAUACCGAAUAAGCCCUUACGGGGAAAGAUUUAUCGCCGAAGGAUCGGCCCGCGUCUGAUUAGCUAGUUGGUGGGGUAACGGCCCACCAAGGCGACGAUCAGUAGCUGGUCUGAGAGGAUGAUCAGCCUCAUUGGGACUGAGACACGGCCCAAACUCCUACGGGAGGCAGCAGUGGGGAAUAUUGGACAAUGGGCGCAAGCCUGAUCCAGCCAUGCCGCGUGGGUGAUGAAGGCCCUAGGGUUGUAAAGCCCUUUCGGCGGGGAAGAUAAUGACGGUACCGCAGAAGAAGCCCGGCUAACUUCGCGCCAGCAGCCGC